RNAcentral lists this ribosomal RNA (504 nucleotides) under uncultured bacterium. Its description in RNAcentral is "partial 16S ribosomal RNA". It matches the Rfam family "Bacterial small subunit ribosomal RNA", at positions 28 to 506 of the family's 1533-position model. The record is from RNAcentral.
GACGAACGCUGGCGGCGUGCCUAAUACAUGCAAGUAGAACGCACAGUUUAUACCGUAGCUUGCUACACCAUAGACUGUGAGUUGCGAACGGGUGAGUAACGCGUAGGUAACCUGCCUGGUAGCGGGGGAUAACUAUUGGAAACGAUAGCUAAUACCGCAUAAUAUUAAUUAUUGCAUGUUAAUUAAUUGAAAGGUGCAAUUGCACCACUACCAGCUGGACCUGCGUUGUAUUAGCUAGUAGGUGAGGUAACGGCUCACCUAGGCGACGAUACAUAGCCGACCUGAGAGGGUGAUCGGCCACACUGGGACUGAGACACGGCCCAGACUCCUACGGGAGGCAGCAGUAGGGAAUCUUCGGCAAUGGACGAAAGUCUGACCGAGCAACGCCGCGUGAGUGAAGAAGGUUUUCGGAUCGUAAAGCUCUGUUGUAAGAGAAGAACGGGUGUGAGAGUGGAUAGUUCACACUGUGACGGUAUCUUACCAGAAAGGGACGGCUACCUACGU